Molecule: ribosomal RNA, 207 nt
Filed under: uncultured bacterium
Lineage: Bacteria
Description: partial 16S ribosomal RNA
Rfam family: Bacterial small subunit ribosomal RNA
Source: RNAcentral
CGCGUAGGCGGUUUUUUAAGUCUGAUGUGAAAGCCCACGGCUCAACCGUGGAGGGUCAUUGGAAACUGGAAAACUUGAGUGCAGAAGAGGAAAGUGGAAUUCCAUGUGUAGCGGUGAAAUGCGCAGAGAUAUGGAGGAACACCAGUGGCGAAGGCGGCUUACUGGUCCAUUACUGACGCUGAGGUGCGAAAGCGUGGGGAGCAAACA